Molecule: ribosomal RNA, 253 nt
Filed under: uncultured bacterium
Lineage: Bacteria
Description: partial 16S ribosomal RNA
Rfam family: Bacterial small subunit ribosomal RNA
Source: RNAcentral
UACAGAGGUCCCAAGCGUUGUUCGGAUUCACUGGGCGUAAAGGGUGCGUAGGCGGUCGGGUAAGUCUGAUGUGAAAUCUCACAGCUUAACUGUGAAACUGCAUUGGAUACUAUCCGGCUCGAGGAAUGGAGGGGAGACUGGAAUACUUGGUGUAGCAGUGAAGUGCGUAGAUAUCAAGUGGAACACCAGUGGCGAAGGCGAGUCUCUGGACAUUUCCUGACGCUGAGGCACGAAAGCCAGGGGAGCAAACGGG